Non-coding RNA from Pelobates cultripes (western spadefoot toad), 105 nucleotides. The record is from the annotation of a GenBank genome assembly. Lineage: Eukaryota; Metazoa; Chordata; Amphibia; Anura; Pelobatidae.
CAACGUUUCAGCCCCACUCUAGGGCUUUCCUCAGGAUCAAAAAAAUACAUACAUGUAUGUAUUUUUUUGAUCCUGAGGAAAGCCCUAGAGUGGGGCUGAAACGCU